This 268-nucleotide ribosomal RNA is filed under the name uncultured prokaryote. Its description in RNAcentral is "partial 16S ribosomal RNA". It matches the Rfam family "Bacterial small subunit ribosomal RNA", at positions 524 to 792 of the family's 1533-position model. The record is from RNAcentral.
UACGUAGGGGCUAGCGUUAUCCGGAAUUACUGGGCGUAAAGGGUGCGUAGGUGGUUGAUUAAGUCUGAUGUGAAAGCCCACGGCUUAACCGUGGAGGGUCAUUGGAAACUGGUCGACUUGAGUGCAGAAGAGGGAAGUGGAAUCCCAUGUGUAGCGGUGAAAUGCGUAGAGAUAUGGAGGAACACCAGUGGCGAAGGCGGCUUCCUGGCACAACACUGACGCUCAUGUGCGAAAGCUAGGGUAGCGAACGGGAUUAGAUACCCCUGUA